RNAcentral lists this long non-coding RNA (1241 nucleotides) under Pandoravirus salinus. Its description in RNAcentral is "putative ncRNA". The record is from RNAcentral.
CUGGGCGGCGGCCCGCCGCUGGAUGGCGUCGACGGCCGCCUGAUCGACGAGCGCCUCGGCGAUUUCGGCCCUCCGGUGGCGUAUCUCGGCAGCGAGACGCGUCGCCGGGAUGGCACCGCUCAUGGCCUCGAUUUCGGCUUGGGCGCGCACGCGGGCCACCUCGGACGCGCGCGCACGCGCCUCCUCCAACAGUCUGGCAGCGAUCUGCGCCUGCCGCUGCUGUCGGCUCUGCACCCACUCGACGCUCCUCGAUAGUUGAUUGGCCCGGCCCUGUCUGUAGGCUGCCAUCGCCUCGGCGUCCUCGACGGGCGCAGCGGCUGAUUCCUCGCGUCCCAGGCGCACGCCGCCAACACCGCCGACAUCGUUCCGGGCGCCCCCGACCUUGCGCCCCCGACCCCGUCGUGGCUGUGUAAACCGUUCGGUCCACGCCCGACGCUUGGCUUCCUCGGUCGGCUGGGCGGCAGCGACGAGUUGGUCCAGUGUGCGCGGCCCGGCGGCGGCGGCCCGACGGUGUUGCUCUUGGCGCCAUUCGCGCUCGGACGGCGCCGGCCACGGGUUGAUGUCGACUGCCGCCGUCGACGGCAGAUCGCCAGCCGGCUCGGCGAUGGGCACGCCGGCAGCGGCGUCGCCACCAAUGCGGCGCACUGUGUCGACCUCGGUCGACCGGCUGAUGUAAUAGCGCCCGUCAGAGGAGGCGCCGGCGGGGCGUGCGCGCGCGGCGAGGCGCACGCUUCCAUCGGGUGCGGCGACAGUGCUGAUGGCCAGCGUGUAGGGGUCGCGUCCGCCCAGCGACGCCGUGACGCCCGGCUCGUCGAUGUAGGCGCGCAUAAAAGCCGCCUGAUCGGGAUCGCGCGCCGCGCUCGGGUCGAGCAUAAAGUAGUGUUGGUCCCUGAUGGCGGCCACCAGCCGGUAGGGGAACUCGACGAUGGCGCCGGGCGGCGUCUCGGGGUCGGGCGCCAGCGCGAUGGCGUACAAGGCGCCCUUUUGCAUGCCGGCGGCGUAGGCCUGUGGCGCGUUGGCAGCCGGGUUGCCGCGGUCGUAAAGCACGCCUGGUGCUGUCGGUGGCGGCGUGCGCGUCGGCGCCUCCAUGCUCUCUUGCUGCCGGCUGUCGGGCGCGCGCGCGGUGCCCGCAACAGGGAAAAAAAAAGAGGGCGUCUCUUUUCUUUGUGCGCCUUUUUCCUUUCGGCGAAAAAAAGAAAAGAGAAAAGAAAGAAAAAAAGCGCGCUGGCCAAUCCGCUUCU